This 483-nucleotide ribosomal RNA is filed under the name uncultured bacterium. Its description in RNAcentral is "partial 16S ribosomal RNA". It matches the Rfam family "Bacterial small subunit ribosomal RNA", at positions 28 to 523 of the family's 1533-position model. The record is from RNAcentral.
GAUGAACGCUGGCGGCGUGCCUAAUACAUGCAAGUCGAGCGAACCACUUCGGUGGUGAGCGGCGAACGGGUGAGUAACACGUAGGUGAUCUGCCCAUCAGACGGGGACAACGAUUGGAAACGAUCGCUAAUACCGGAUAGGACGAAAGUUUAAAGGUGCUUCUGGCACCGCUGAUGGAUGAGCCUGCGGCGCAUUAGCUAGUUGGUAGGGUAAAGGCCUACCAAGGCGACGACGCGUAGCCGACCUGAGAGGGUGAACGGCCACACUGGGACUGAGACACGGCCCAGACUCCUACGGGAGGCAGCAGUAGGGAAUCUUCGGCAAUGGGCGAAAGCCUGACCGAGCAACGCUGCGUGAAUGAUGAAGGCCUUCGGGUUGUAAAAUUCUGUUAUAAGGGAAGAACGACUUUAGUAGGAAAUGGCUAGAGUGUGACGGUACCUUAUGAGAAAGCCACGGCUAACUACGUGCCAGCAGCCGCAGUAA